This 116-nucleotide ribosomal RNA is filed under the name Pteropus alecto (black flying fox). RNAcentral also lists the same sequence under 1 other name. Lineage: Eukaryota; Metazoa; Chordata; Mammalia; Chiroptera; Pteropodidae. The record is from RNAcentral.
GUCUAUGACCAUGCCACCCUGAACAAGCCUGAUGUCUGAUCUCGGAAGCUAAGCAAGGUUGGGCCUGGUUAGUACUUGGAUGAGAGACCACCUAGGAAGACCAGGUGCUGUAGGCA